AUCUGAUGUUUCUUUGUUUCCUGGUCCUUAAAAUUUGACCUCACUCUCCUGUGUGAAAGGGCACAUGAAAUCAUGAGGGAGGGACUUACAAGCAAUCCAAAACUCAAGAUUCGGAUUUUAAAUCCAAGUUCCAAAACAAGCUAUGCUACGAAUUGGGACUCUGUUUUACUUGGAUUCCUUAAAUUUGGGUUUCACCAUGGAUUUUAAAUGGACAAUAUUUAUAUUAUAUGGACUGCACCUUUAAAUGUGGACUGUCGUCACCAUAACAACCUGCACUAACAUUGGAAGGAGAGCCAGGAUAUAAGAGAAACACCGCCCCGUGACAUCUUUCACACUGACGUGGAGCGGAACUGAGGGCGGAUAUGACGUUCCGUCUAGGAGAGCGGACCCUGAGGGCGGAAGUGACGUCACGUCUAUGGGAACGAACUCGGACUGUCACUUAGCAACUGGAGGGACCUGGCAAUUACGAUCGGUGGAGACUGACUAAGUUUGGUCUCAUAAUAGCAGCGUAUUGAACCUUCAGUGAAUCGCACAUUUAUAGUGAUUAGGAUGAAUUAGGGAUUAUUAAUACUGUUUUACAGAGACUUUAUUUUAGAUCCCCUUUAUCUCCAUGAGGAUUAUGGGAUAUUUAACAGGAAGUGGUAGCCAUGGUAAUAGGAAUAAACAUAUGGAGGUGGCCAUGUUUUACACAGAUUUUUAUCAUUCAUUUCUUAAUUAAUUCCAAUCAAUGCUGUGAUUGGUAAGUUUGGAAAUAAAAGCAUUCUGGUUUUUAUGGGGAGCACAUCAGCCUUGAAAAAGGGCCUAGAAAGGCCUGAAACACGUCGGCGCAGCUAGAGGUGUCUCUUCGCUGGUUGUGGAAGGAGGUUUGCCGGAGAGUCCAGGACACCAUUUCCCGGGAGGUUGCCUGGCAAUAAGAACACGUUUGUUUGAGGAUAAAUAUAUCCUCAGACCAUCCGGUAAUUCUUUACUUUUACACUCAGCCUGGGGAUUUUCCUAUAUGCUGCAUGUGCUCUGUGCAGUAUUAUGAAACAUUGUUUUAUCUGGAUUUUGAUUUUAUCUAAAAAAGUUAUUAAGUGUGUAUGAAACUUUAUGUGAAUGAAUAAAACUGUGUUACACGAUAUUCCUUAUCUUCUUAUUUACAUA
Molecule: long non-coding RNA, 1143 nt
Organism: Pseudophryne corroboree (corroboree frog)
Lineage: Eukaryota; Metazoa; Chordata; Amphibia; Anura; Myobatrachidae
Exons: 3
Source: RefSeq, a predicted model, not a curated record